Molecule: ribosomal RNA, 301 nt
Filed under: uncultured bacterium
Lineage: Bacteria
Description: partial 16S ribosomal RNA
Rfam family: Bacterial small subunit ribosomal RNA
Source: RNAcentral
CAGUCGCCGCGGUAAUACGAAGGGGGCUAGCGUUGUUCGGACUUACUGGGCGUAAAGCGCACGUAGGCGGAUCGAUCAGUCAGGGGUGAAAUCCCAAGGCUCAACCUUGGAACUGCCUUUGAUACUGGAAGUCUUGAGUCCGGGAGAGGUGAGUGGAACUGCGAGUGUAGAGGUGAAAUUCGUAGAUAUUCGCAAGAACACCAGUGGCGAAGGCGGCUCACUGGCCCGAUGCUGACGCUGAGGUGCGAAAGCGUGGGGAGCAAACAGGAUUAGAGACCCCUGUAGUCCCUGUCUCUUAUAC